AUUUAAAUAGCUUAAGUAUAAAGUGAAGUGUUGAAGCCACUUAGAUAAUUUUUUAAUUUUUAAAUG
Molecule: transfer RNA, 66 nt
Filed under: Songmachilis xinxiangensis
Lineage: Eukaryota; Metazoa; Arthropoda; Insecta; Archaeognatha; Machilidae
Description: tRNA-Phe
Source: RNAcentral